RNAcentral lists this ribosomal RNA (839 nucleotides) under Plasmodium yoelii. RNAcentral describes it as "SSU rRNA". It matches the Rfam family "Eukaryotic small subunit ribosomal RNA", at positions 64 to 871 of the family's 1831-position model. The record is from RNAcentral. Lineage: Eukaryota; Apicomplexa; Aconoidasida; Haemosporida; Plasmodiidae.
UAUGCAUAUUUUAUAUGUAGAAACUGCGAACGGCUCAUUAAAACAGUUAUAAUCUACUUGACAUUUUAUUAUAAGGAUAACUACGGAAAAGCUGUAGCUAAUACUUGCUUUAAGUGCUUUUUACUCUCCGGAGUAAUUAGCAUGUAUUUGUUAAGCCUUAUAAGAAAAAUUUUUAAUUAAAGGAAUUAUAACAAAGAAGUAACACAUAAUAUAUUUACUAUAUUUAGUGUGUAUCAAUCGAGUUUCUGACCUAUCAGCUUUUGAUGUUAGGGUAUUGGCCUAACAUGGCUAUGACGGGUAACGGGGAAUUAGAGUUCGAUUCCGGAGAGGGAGCCUGAGAAAUAGCUACCACAUCUAAGGAAGGCAGCAGGCGCGUAAAUUACCCAAUUCUAAAUAAGAGAGGUAGUGACAAGAAAUAACAAUAUAAGGCCAAAUUUUGGUUUUAUAAUUGGAAUGAUGGGAAUUUAAAACCUUCCCAAAAAUCAAUUGGAGGGCAAGUCUGGUGCCAGCAGCCGCGGUAAUUCCAGCUCCAAUAGCGUAUAUUAAAAUUGUUGCAGUUAAAACGCUCGUAGUGGAACUUCAAGGGUAUUAUUAUUUUAAGCAACUCACUUGGCUAGAUUCUUGGCUCCGCCUCGAUAUCUCAUGCCUCGUUGCAGUUCUUUUAAUUACUGGCCCUUUGAGAGCCCACUGAUUUAUCAUUGGGCUCUCGUUACUUUGAGUAAAUUAGAGUGUUCAAAGCAAACAGUUAAAGCGUUUUCGCGUUUGAAUACUAUAGCAUGGAAUAACAAAAUUGAACAAGUCAAAUUUUUUGUUCUUUUUUCUUAUUUUGGCUUAGUUAC